AUUUUGCAUGUUAGGAAUUGUUUGAGGGAGAAACGACUAAUAUUUAAGAGAAAAAAUUUAGAAAUGUAUAAUUAAAAAGCACAUUGAUUAUAGGUUAUUGAAUAGAGAGAAGGGGAGAGGAAAAGCCAAGAGUAAAGAUCAAUUCAAAAAAAGAGUUAGUGAAGCUCGAGGAAAACUUGCCACGUGGCAAAAUUAUUUAGAAUUCAUAUAGUGUGAGAAAGUGAAUUCUCGAAAUACGAGAGUUAGACUUCAUUCAGAAUCGACCAAGGGUCGUGUUGGUGCGCUUUGGAAAAG
RNAcentral lists this long non-coding RNA (294 nucleotides) under Ananas comosus (pineapple). RNAcentral's name for it is "long non-coding RNA (ACOM_LNC008825)". The record is from RNAcentral. Lineage: Eukaryota; Viridiplantae; Streptophyta; Magnoliopsida; Poales; Bromeliaceae.